RNAcentral lists this unclassified non-coding RNA (1047 nucleotides) under Rhodotorula taiwanensis. RNAcentral's name for it is "partial contains ITS1, 5.8S rRNA and ITS2". The stretch from base 624 to 777 matches the Rfam family "5.8S ribosomal RNA". Lineage: Eukaryota; Fungi; Basidiomycota; Microbotryomycetes; Sporidiobolales; Sporidiobolaceae. The record is from RNAcentral.
AUUAGGAUUAGGAGCUUCCCUUAAUCAAACCCGGCUUUUGGUCCGAAGACUGAAUUCCUCAGCGAAUUGUCUAUUACGCCAAGUCAAUCCGAAGUUCGAUUGCCGAUGCUAAUGCAUUACGAGCGAGCUCGACCGUGAGGCCAGCAAAACGCUCAAAAUCCAAACACCUCUUCGAUCAUAAAGAAAGAGGAGGGUUGAAGUAUUCAUGACACUCAAACAGGCAUGCUCCACGGAAUACCAUGGAGCGCAAGGUGCGUUCAAAGAUUCGAUGAUUCACUGAAUUCUGCAAUUCACAUUACUUAUCGCAUUUCGCUGCGUUCUUCAUCGAUGCGAGAGCCAAGAGAUCCGUUGUUGAAAGUUAUAUUUUGUUAUAAAAUUAAAUACAUUCAUAGACUUUGUGUUUAUAAGUGAAUAGGGAUUCGCCCCGAAAGGCUACUACCCCAAACAAAUGCACAGGGUUAGAAAGGAUCAUUAGUGAACAUAGGACGUCCAACUUAACUUGGAGUCCGAACUCUCACUUUCUAACCCUGUGCAUUUGUUUGGGGUAGUAGCCUUUCGGGGCGAAUCCCUAUUCACUUAUAAACACAAAGUCUAUGAAUGUAUUUAAUUUUAUAACAAAAUAAAACUUUCAACAACGGAUCUCUUGGCUCUCGCAUCGAUGAAGAACGCAGCGAAAUGCGAUAAGUAAUGUGAAUUGCAGAAUUCAGUGAAUCAUCGAAUCUUUGAACGCACCUUGCGCUCCAUGGUAUUCCGUGGAGCAUGCCUGUUUGAGUGUCAUGAAUACUUCAACCCUCCUCUUUCUUUAUGAUCGAAGAGGUGUUUGGAUUUUGAGCGUUUUGCUGGCCUCACGGUCGAGCUCGCUCGUAAUGCAUUAGCAUCCGCAAUCGAACUUCGGAUUGACUUGGCGUAAUAGACUAUUCGCUGAGGAAUUCUAGUCUUCGGACUAGAGCCGGGUUGGAUUAAAGGAAGCUCCUAAUCCUAAUGUCUAUUUUUAAGAUUAGAUCUCAAAUCAGGUAGGACUACCCGCUGAACUUAAGCAUAUCAAUA